This is a non-coding RNA of Danio rerio (zebrafish), 80 nucleotides long. RefSeq annotates it as microRNA 99-2. Lineage: Eukaryota; Metazoa; Chordata; Actinopteri; Cypriniformes; Danionidae. The record is from RefSeq and is marked provisional.
CACUUGUCACAAACCCGUAGAUCCGAUCUUGUGGCGUAAUCGGCAACCCAAGCUCGAUUCUGUGGGUCUCUGUCACUGUG